RNAcentral lists this ribosomal RNA (822 nucleotides) under uncultured organism. Its description in RNAcentral is "bacterial SSU rRNA". It matches the Rfam family "Bacterial small subunit ribosomal RNA", at positions 570 to 1379 of the family's 1533-position model. The record is from RNAcentral.
CGUAGGCUUUUUUGUAUGUUUUCGGUGAAAGUCACAGGCUUAACUUGUGAAUUGCCGGAAAAACUGCAGAGAUUGAAUCCGAAAGGGGAAAGCAGAAUUCCUGGUGUAGCGGUGAAAUGCGUAGAUAUCAGGAGGAAUACCAGUGGCGAAGGCGGCUUUCUGGUUCGGAAUUGACGCUGAUGUACUAAAGCGUGGGUAGCAAACAGGAUUAGAUACCCUGGUAGUCCACGCCUUAAACUAUGGAUACUUGAUGUCGGGGCGUUCGGUCGACCCGGUGUCGUAGCUAACGUGUUAAGUAUCCCGCCUGGGGACUACGGUCGCAAGACUGAAACUCAAAGGAAUUGACGGGGGCCCGCACCAGCGGUGGAACAUGUGGUUUAAUUCGAUGCAACGCGAAGAACCUUACCUGGGCUUGACAUAUAUAUGGCGUAUGUAAGAAAUUAUGUAUUCUGUCUGUUUUUUCAGAUAGCAUAUAUACAGGUGAUGCAUGGCUGUCGUCAGCUCGUGUCGUGAGAUGUAGGGUUAAGUCCCUUAACGAGCGCAACCCUUGCUUUUAGUUGCCAUCAGGUAAUGCUGGGGACUCUAGAAGGACUGCCGAGGUUAACUCGGAGGAAGGUGGGGAUGACGUCAAGUCAGUAUGUCCCUUAUGUCCAGGGCUACACACGUGUUACAAUGGUCGGUACAGAGUGACGCUAAUCCACGAGGUGGCGCCAAUCACUUAAAGCCGAUCCCAGUUCGGAUUGGAGUCUGCAAUUCGACUCCAUGAAGUUGGAAUCGCUAGUAAUCGCAGAACAGCAUGCUGCGGUGAAUACGUUCCCGGGC